This is a long non-coding RNA of Uranotaenia lowii, 787 nucleotides long. RefSeq lists it as uncharacterized. The record is from RefSeq and is a predicted model, not a curated record. The transcript has 3 exons. NCBI's taxonomy places the organism in Eukaryota, Metazoa, Arthropoda, Insecta, Diptera, Culicidae.
AAGUCGUUAGAAAAAAAAUUCUUCGAUUCAAAAAAUUUUCAUCUUCCAAAUAUCAGCACAGUUGGCCUCACUGCACACCGCACAUUUAAAUGUAAACAAAAAUUUGGAAUGUCGUUUCAAGCUCCAAUUUCAAAUUCCAAAUUUGUUUGUGUUCGCCUGAUUGGAAUCAUCAACGGAUUCUGCAAGCUUGAUUGAGUACAAUCCUGGAAAAUAUUGCUCAAUUCGAUUUUGAGUUCUGUAGAUGGCACGUACUCAACGAAACAAGGCCACGGCAGGCCAUUUGGGUAUGCGGGAGGCUCUAUGAACUAAACUGCGCCGAGAAAUGCUCACCCUCAAAGGUGGCGCCGGUGCACUCGAGCAGGGUUUCGAAACGUCCAGAAUCAGAAACGCUAGGAUCGGGUGUUUUUUGUUGGGGAACUCGACAUUCCUUUCCGACUGCACCAUGGUCAGAACGAUCUCGGAUGAAUUAAGUAUAAGGGCGCUUGAAUCUAAGUUCGGAAUACCAUCGGAACUGGCCCUUGCGAGGGUGCUGCCUCGUCAAAGAAUUGCGCCGGCAGUCUGAAAUAACUAAGGAUCGUCUCCAAAAACCGGAGCAGCUUUUUCGGCGACUGGACAUCUCAAGUACCGCAGACAUGCACGUAGUAGCUCCUCCAACCGAUAAGGCAACCGCGGAAAGUGGAGUUAGUGGGCCAAAGGCGAUUCCUAAUCGCAAACCGGUUGGCAUCGAUGCAGGAAGGACUCCUUUUAAAAAGUUAAAGUGAUGGUACUUAAUAUAAAAACAAUUAAA